Gasterosteus aculeatus aculeatus (three-spined stickleback) is the source of this 1729-nucleotide non-coding RNA. The record is from RefSeq and is a predicted model, not a curated record. NCBI's taxonomy places the organism in Eukaryota, Metazoa, Chordata, Actinopteri, Perciformes, Gasterosteidae.
GGUCGUCGAUGCCUUUCACUUGGAUCAGAUGGCUGGCGGUCAAUCACGCGCGGCCGCGGGCGGGCAGCGCACCGGCGGAGACAAUGGACGGAGAGACGCAGUUCAAGUGCAGGCGUGCACCCAUCUGACAUCGAGACACGCAGUAAACAAAGUGCCACUCCACGAAUGAAGAACGAGCACAGCACCGAGUACGUUACAGCCGCCAGUAACUCGGCAAGUGUUGGAAUUUCAUGCACAAAAAGAAAUACGACUUGAUAAUUAUUGUUAAGGUUGAUAAUCUUCGCCUGGUAGCAAGCUACGUUUUAAGCUAGUUAAGGCUAUUUUAGAAACAUUUAAAAAAUAUAUUUGUUGAAAUUUUCUCAGACAGCAAUAUGUGGAAUGUUAGGACAACAAAAUGUUGGACAAAGGUCAAUGUACAAAUCAUAUUUAAAACACUUCAAACAAAAAAAGCUUUUAAUAUUUUUUAUUAUUACAUCCAUUAUAACUUUUCCCAUUCAACAUUGGCAGGCAGUACUUGUUUUUAGGCAGAACAACAUGGCGGUAGUUCUAGAGUAAAAGCAUUAAGCGGAAAAAUAAAAAAUGCUGUGUACAAAAAUACAACCUCACUGUACAAACGCAGCACCCUAAAAAGCAAAGAGAUGGGAAACUCGUUGGAUCCGUCUCCACUGGUGUAUGGCACUUUUAAUGACUGAACACAUUUACCAAGUGUGUGUCACGCUGGUUGGUCACUAACAAAUUCUCUAAGAUGUGUGUUUGGUGGGACUGGAUGAGAUAAAACUACUUUUGUGUAGAAAUCUACUGAAUCACUACCAUCCAGAAUGAUAUUUUUUAUUGGUAUAGAGGAGACUUUUUUGUAAAAAGCUGCAUCAUUCAUUCAUUUAUGUGUGCACGUUAGUGGCUGGGAAAAGCCUCUCGGAAAUGUAAUUAUUGGAUGAGAUUGAUUUUCAGUAUUUCUUCUUUAAAUCGAGUUUGUACAUAAAUUGUCAAUAGUCAUUUUGUUUUUAGACCUUAAUUGGUCGAUGCAUGCUGUUAUGCGCAGCGGACUGCAAACACUCAACCGUACAAAUUGGAACAAAUCAAUGACCACUCAAACUGCCUCUUGUGAAUAUCCAACAAUACAGUCACUGUAACAACAUACAGUCCGAUUGAACACAAGACUUUUUUUCUGAUGCUUCUAUCCACUUUGAAAGUACCUGAGAACCUGUUCAGGAAAAAUACAGGAUCUCAUAAAAAUGCAGCCAUCUUAUAAAGAAUGAUAUGGUCAAACCGAGCAGCACUGAAGAUGUAGAUUCCAAAAAAAGAUCAAUUUUCACAAGUGUCAAAACAGAUCUUGGUCCCUCGUGAGACAGAAAGUGUGCACCGUAUUGGUAAAGCUGUCUGGAAAAUCUCUCGUGCAACAUAAAACAAAGAGUGUCAUGCAUUUUUCAUGAAGAUCAAUAAUCAUUCCUAAUCUUUUCACUGACUUAGCAGCAACACGGCAGAUCAAAACGUGACAAGGAUGACUUGCAGGAACCAUUUAAGAAGAAAGCAAAAUGUGAUUCUCUGUCUUUUUUUACUACUUGAAGCCAUUCACGAGUGAAACGCUGAAGAAAUGCUGAGCAAACUUACUGAACACUUGGGAAAGAUCAGCUGAAAGCUCUAGAUAUGUCAGCUUCGACAGCAGCAGCAUCUUACUCUGUCCAUCAUGCGUCAUGGGGUAUGCAAAUGUGAAAAAAAAACAAAAAAAAUA